AAAUUGAAGAGUUUGAUCAUGGCUCAGAUUGAACGCUGGCGGCAGGCCUAACACAUGCAAGUCGAGCGGUAGCACAGAGAGCUUGCUCUCGGGUGACGAGCGGCGGACGGGUGAGUAAUGUCUGGGAAACUGCCUGAUGGAGGGGGAUAACUACUGGAAACGGUAGCUAAUACCGCAUAACGUCGCAAGACCAAAGUGGGGGACCUUCGGGCCUCAUGCCAUCAGAUGUGCCCAGAUGGGAUUAGCUAGUAGGUGGGGUAACGGCUCACCUAGGCGACGAUCCCUAGCUGGUCUGAGAGGAUGACCAGCCACACUGGAACUGAGACACGGUCCAGACUCCUACGGGAGGCAGCAGUGGGGAAUAUUGCACAAUGGGCGCAAGCCUGAUGCAGCCAUGCCGCGUGUGUGAAGAAGGCCUUCGGGUUGUAAAGCACUUUCAGCGGGGAGGAAGGCGUUAAGGUUAAUAACCUUGGCGAUUGACGUUACCCGCAGAAGAAGCACCGGCUAACUCCGUGCCAGCAGCCGCGGUAAUACGGAGGGUGCAAGCGUUAAUCGGAAUUACUGGGCGUAAAGCGCACGCAGGCGGUCUGUCAAGUCGGAUGUGAAAUCCCCGGGCUCAACCUGGGAACUGCAUUCGAAACUGGCAGGCUAGAGUCUUGUAGAGGGGGGUAGAAUUCCAGGUGUAGCGGUGAAAUGCGUAGAGAUCUGGAGGAAUACCGGUGGCGAAGGCGGCCCCCUGGACAAAGACUGACGCUCAGGUGCGAAAGCGUGGGGAGCAAACAGGAUUAGAUACCCUGGUAGUCCACGCCGUAAACGAUGUCGAUUUGGAGGUUGUGCCCUUGAGGCGUGGCUUCCGGAGCUAACGCGUUAAAUCGACCGCCUGGGGAGUACGGCCGCAAGGUUAAAACUCAAAUGAAUUGACGGGGCCCGCACAAGCGGUGGAGCAUGGGUUUAAUUCGAUGCAACGCGAAGAACCUUACCUGGUCUUGACAUCCACAGAACUUUCCAGAGAUGGAUUGGUGCCUUCGGGAACUGUGAGACAGGUGCUGCAUGGCUGUCGUCAGCUCGUGUUGUGAAAUGUUGGGUUAAGUCCCGCAACGAGCGCAACCCUUAUCCUUUGUUGCCAGCGGUUCGGCCGGGAACUCAAAGGAGACUGCCAGUGAUAAACUGGAGGAAGGUGGGGAUGACGUCAAGUCAUCAUGGCCCUUACGACCAGGGCUACACACGUGCUACAAUGGCAUAUAAAGAGAAGCGACCUCGCGAGAGCAAGCGGACCUCAUAAAGUAUGUCGUAGUCCGGAUUGGAGUCUGCAACUCGACUCCAUGAAGUCGGAAUCGCUAGUAAUCGUAGAUCAGAAUGCUACGGUGAAUACGUUCCCGGGCCUUGUACACACCGCCCGUCACACCAUGGGAGUGGGUUGCAAAAGAAGUAGGUAGCUUAACCUUCGGGAGGGCGCUUACCACUUUGUGAUUCAUGACUGGGGUGAAGUCGUAACAAGGUAACCGUAGGGGAACCUGCGGUUGGAUCACCUCCUUACCUUAAAGAA
RNAcentral lists this ribosomal RNA (1546 nucleotides) under Klebsiella pneumoniae. Its description in RNAcentral is "bacterial SSU rRNA". It matches the Rfam family "Bacterial small subunit ribosomal RNA". Lineage: Bacteria; Pseudomonadati; Pseudomonadota; Gammaproteobacteria; Enterobacterales; Enterobacteriaceae. The record is from RNAcentral.